CCGGACUCUCCAUUUUUGUGCCUAUACCCGUGUCCACCGGACAUGACAUGGGUGUGGGUAUGAGAUCUGAGUCGGAUCCUUCUUAUUGCAACCAGACACUUCACCUUGUAACAUCCCAGGUCAAAAUGAAAACUUAGGUCUUGUUUCAACUUGUUUAUAGAGAUCAAGAUCCAUGAAUGACUUGUUUUUAUGACACUUCACCUUGUAACAUCCCAGGUCAAAAUGAAAACUUAGGUCUUGUUUCAACUUGUUUAUAGAGAUCAAGAUCCAUGAAUGACUUGUUUCUAUGUUGUUCUAUUGAUUUUAUGCUUCAGUUUUUAGUGUAUGUAAUAAAUCAGUCUAUAUAAAGUGUUACUUGCGUGGAACUUAAGUGCCAAGUCCCCGUACCUGAGUCUAAUUCCGGAUCCAUGUCCACGAAUCCUAAUUAUCCUAAAACUACAUAUCUGACUCUUGGAUAUGUACCCGUGUCCGUUACCCAUACCCG
Molecule: long non-coding RNA, 484 nt
Filed under: Daucus carota (carrot)
Lineage: Eukaryota; Viridiplantae; Streptophyta; Magnoliopsida; Apiales; Apiaceae
Description: long non-coding RNA (DCAR_LNC000816)
Source: RNAcentral